GACGAACGCUGGCGGCGUGCUUAACACAUGCAAGUCGAACGGAAAGGCCCUGCUUUUGUGGGGUGCUCGAGUGGCGAACGGGUGAGUAACACGUGAGUAACCUGCCCUUGACUUUGGGAUAACUUCAGGAAACUGGGGCUAAUAUCGGAUAGGAGAUCCUGCUGCAUGGUGGGGGUUGGAAAGAUUCGGCCGUUGGGGAUGGAUUCGCGGCUUAUCAGCUUGUUGGUGGGGUAGUGGAUGACCAAGGCUUUGACGGGUAGCCGGCCUGAGCGGGUUGCCGGCCACAUUGGGACUGCGAUACGGCCCAGACUCCUACGGGAGGCAGCGGUGGGGAAUAUUGCACAAUGAGCGGAAGCCUGAUGCAGCAACGCCGCGUGCGGGAUGACGGCCUUCGGGUUGUAAACAGCUUUCGCCUGUGACGAAGCGUGAGUGACGGUAAUGGGUAAAGAAGCACCGGCUAACUACGUG
This 468-nucleotide ribosomal RNA is filed under the name uncultured bacterium. RNAcentral's name for it is "partial 16S ribosomal RNA". It matches the Rfam family "Bacterial small subunit ribosomal RNA", at positions 28 to 507 of the family's 1533-position model. The record is from RNAcentral.